This is a long non-coding RNA of Xiphophorus hellerii (green swordtail), 413 nucleotides long. RefSeq lists it as uncharacterized. NCBI's taxonomy places the organism in Eukaryota, Metazoa, Chordata, Actinopteri, Cyprinodontiformes, Poeciliidae. The record is from RefSeq and is a predicted model, not a curated record. The transcript is spliced from 2 exons.
UGUGUGCCUUCGUUUCCCCUCUCGGCUGCCUGAGUGACUUGUGUGCUUGAUCGGCUCAUCUGAGAUAGUAAGUGCCAUUUAUACUGUAACGAUUCUGUGUUUUAGUUCUGCUGGGGUUCAUGUGGUUAUUUGUAUUUGCUAUAAGUUGCAAUGUGAUCCUUUUUGUUAUAUGUAGUGUUAUGGGCUUCCCCUGUCUGACUCUACUGGCUCCCGCUCACAUGUGAUAGGCCUGUCAUGUGGGCGGAGGAUCGGUGGAGCGGGAGUACCAGGACCGGAAGUGGGGUGAGUUCAGAGGGGAGUUAGCAGUGAAGCUAACAGUUGUUUGAGUGUGCCCGUUUGUUAGAGGCGUGAGCUGCAGCCUCAGAAAUAGCAGCUUGUACUUAUUUCUAAUAAACCCUGUUGGCGGGACUACA